GUGCCAGCAGCCGCGGUAAGACGGAGGGGGCAAGCGUUGUCCGGACUCACUGGGCGUAAAGCGCACGUAGGCGGUUGUGUGCGUCGCUGCUGAAAGCGCCAGGCUUAACCUGGCGAGGCGUGGCGAUACGACAUAACUUGAGGCAGGCAGAGGGUGGCGGAAUUCCGGGUGUAGUGGUGAAAUGCGUAGAGAUCCGGAGGAACGCCUGUGGCGCAAGCGGCCACCUGGGCCUGUCCUGACGCUGAGGUGCGAAAGCGUGGGGAGCGAACCGGAUUAGAUACCCGCGUAGUCC
This 292-nucleotide ribosomal RNA is filed under the name uncultured bacterium. RNAcentral describes it as "partial 16S ribosomal RNA". It matches the Rfam family "Bacterial small subunit ribosomal RNA", at positions 505 to 796 of the family's 1533-position model. The record is from RNAcentral.